CGCCAAUGAAUAAAUUCUGGCUUGCCUUGUGAGAGCGGGGUGCGCAGUGACAGUGCGCCACCGCCAUCCGAGGGGAAGUGAGGACAGGCGGACACGUUAGUCAGCGACGAGCACCAAAACUUUUGUCUCAUCAGGGUCCUGUUAAAUAAUGAUCCUCAAUUAAUAUCUCUGGAGGAAUAGAAGAAAGAGAAGGAGAGAGAGAGAAAGCGUGGUCAACGUUCAUCGGAUAUAUUCUAUAGAUAGGUGAUGGCCCAGGGCGGCGAUGGCAGGGUGAAGGCGAGGUCGUGAGCCGGCCAGCCCCCCCACCCCCGCCAGCCGGCUCCUCCUCCCAUCCUAAGGGCCCUCAUCCUCGAGGGCGCGACUUGUCUGCGGAAUCUGCGUGCUGAGGAGGUCGUCAGCUUCGUCUGUAAGAGCUGAUUGAGUUUCCUUUA
This is a long non-coding RNA of Penaeus chinensis, 431 nucleotides long. RefSeq lists it as uncharacterized. The record is from RefSeq and is a predicted model, not a curated record. Lineage: Eukaryota; Metazoa; Arthropoda; Malacostraca; Decapoda; Penaeidae. The transcript is spliced from 3 exons.